Molecule: ribosomal RNA, 397 nt
Filed under: uncultured bacterium
Lineage: Bacteria
Description: bacterial SSU rRNA
Rfam family: Bacterial small subunit ribosomal RNA
Source: RNAcentral
GACGAACGCUGGCGGCGUGCUUAACACAUGCAAGUCGAGCGGUAAGGCCCUUUCGGGGGUACACGAGCGGCGAACGGGUGAGUAACACGUGGGUGACCUGCCUUCAGCUCUGGGAUAAGCCUGGGAAACUGGGUCUAAUACUGGAUAUUACUCUGCGGUGCAUGCCGUGGGGUGGAAAGCCUUGUGCGGCUGGGGAUGGGCCCGCGGCCUAUCAGCUUGUUGGUGGGGUGAUGGCCUACCAAGGCGACGACGGGUAGCCGGCCUGAGAGGGCGACCGGCCACACUGGGACUGAGACACGGCCCAGACUCCUACGGGAGGCAGCAGUGGGGAAUCUUGCGCAAUGGGCGAAAGCCUGACGCAGCGACGCCGCGUGAGGGAUGACGGCCUGGUGUAACU